UGGGGAAUUUUGGACAAUGGGGGAAACCCUGAUCCAGCCAUCACGCGUGUGCGAUGAAGGCCUUCGGGUUGUAAAGCACUUUUGGCAGGAAAGAAACGACAUGGGUUAAUACCCUGCGAAACUGACGGUACCUGCAGAAUAAGCAUCGGCUAACUACGUGCCAGCAGCCGCGGUAAUACGUAGGGUGCAAGCGCUAAUCGGAAUUACCGGGCGUAAAGCGUGCGCAGGCGGUUCGGAAAGAAAGAUGUGAAAUCCCAGAGCUCAACUUUGGAACUGCAUUUUUAACUACCGGGCUAGAGUGUGUCAGAGGGAGGUGGAAUUCCGCGUGUAGCAGUGAAAUGCGUAGAUAUGCGGAGGAACACCGAUGGCGAAGGCAGCCUCCUGGGAUAACACUGACGCUCAUGCACGAAAGCGUGGGGAGCAAACAGG
RNAcentral lists this ribosomal RNA (429 nucleotides) under Acidobacteriota bacterium. RNAcentral's name for it is "Acidobacteria bacterium partial 16S ribosomal RNA". It matches the Rfam family "Bacterial small subunit ribosomal RNA", at positions 355 to 776 of the family's 1533-position model. The record is from RNAcentral. Lineage: Bacteria; Pseudomonadati; Acidobacteriota.